AUGUUUUGCUCUGAUUCUGAUCAUGAAAACUUUGUCUUGGAGUGUGCUGUUGCUAAUAAGGAAGAGCAACAUGUAGAAGAGAAAGGAAUUGAAUCUGAAGAUGUGUAUCCUUCUGGAUUUCUAAGCUCCACUCCAACAAAACCCCUUGUGGGGAAUGCUGAGGGGACAUCCAGUUCUGGUGGUAAACUUGAAAGUAUGGAGUAUUGCGAGAGUAUUCUUAGAUCUGUAGACUUUUGUGAGUCUGAUGAAGAAGAAUUCAAGGGUGAUGAACUAAAGACUCUUCCCCCUGAAGCUGUCCAGGCCAUACAAAAUAUCUCUUUGAAGAUAUCACUGCUGGAAACCCUUGAUCAUGCUCAAGAUCAAGGGCUGGCCACUGGGAAAAACAAAUGGGGGCAUGUUCUGGUUCAGAAACCUGCUACUAGGGGACAUGGCAAUGUGAAUAUCAUGGAGAAAGCUGCGGCUUACAAGAGGAAGCAGAAUCUCGAAAUUCCUAAAACCUUCAAAGGGGCGAAGCUGGCGAGAUAUGCGUUGUGUGUUGGAUCAGGUGGGGGCAACAAUCAGGCAGUGGAAAAUCUUAUGUUCAGAGGUCCAGAGUGCUCUACUUCUCCGGUGCUUAAGGCUUUUGGAUCGGCGAAGAGGGAAACUGCUUAG
This 651-nucleotide ribosomal RNA is filed under the name Triticum aestivum (bread wheat). Its description in RNAcentral is "partial small subunit ribosomal RNA". Lineage: Eukaryota; Viridiplantae; Streptophyta; Magnoliopsida; Poales; Poaceae. The record is from RNAcentral.